Molecule: ribosomal RNA, 253 nt
Filed under: uncultured bacterium
Lineage: Bacteria
Description: partial 16S ribosomal RNA
Rfam family: Bacterial small subunit ribosomal RNA
Source: RNAcentral
UACAGAGGGUGCAAGCGUUAAUCGGAAUUACUGGGCGUAAAGCGCAUGUAGGUGGGAAGAUAAGUUUGAUGUGAAAGCCCUGGGCUUAACCUGGGAAAGGCGUUGAAGACUAUCGUUCUAGAGUAUGACAGAGGGCCGUGGAAUUUCCGGUGUAGCAGUGAAAUGCGUAGAGAUCGGAAAGAACACCAGUGGCGAAGGCGGCGGCCUGGGUCGAGACUGACACUGAGAUGCGAAAGCGUGGGGAGCAAACAGG